This is an RNA transcript of Triplophysa dalaica, 3490 nucleotides long. It is a transcript of the gene named tripartite motif containing 13, with no coding region annotated. NCBI's taxonomy places the organism in Eukaryota, Metazoa, Chordata, Actinopteri, Cypriniformes, Nemacheilidae. The record is from RefSeq and is a predicted model, not a curated record. The transcript has 3 exons.
UCGAACAACAGGUUGCGCGAAUUCAUCUGAAAUGUUUGUGCAUACCUACUUGAGCUGAACUAGUUAAAAUCGCUCAAUUGGACAGGGCAAAGUCUGCACAGCAACAAGACCCACGAUUGCGUCGCACACUUCCUAAGCAUCUUGUGCGUUUCUAGUCCAAUUGCUGAUGCUUUCUGCCUGCAAAAUCUGCCACAACCGUAGCAAUGCCUUGACAACCGGACCUAGGCAUAGGGCGAAACUCAAACAUUUUGACAACUCGACGGUGGCGUUUCUUUUUUUCACUCACAUCAAUGCAUCGAAGUUGGAAAGGUCUUUGGAUAUCAGUGCACGAGAAUUCCCACGUGGGCAAUUAAAAAUGAAGUACUGGUGCACUCAGAAGUCUUCAUCAUCAGGCAAUCUGAACUACUAUAUUUAGUUGGAGCAGCUUCUUCGUCGGGCUUCGCUCGAAAUGCACGCUUAUAAAAAACAAAACUAGGCUGGACACUCAAAAUCGAUCGAUUCAGAUGAUAUUAAUUCUUGAGAUUAUAGAUAAUGUGACAUACGACAUCAUUAAGAUCUAAUUUAAAUAGCCAGUACGAGGAUGUUGUUUUUUAUUGUUUUUAUUAUGAGGCAAAAUUAUCUUUUGAUCUUAACUAUAGGUGCUGGAACGGCGUUAAGAAAUAAAGAAAGGUUUACUGUUAUCUCAUAGGACAAACUCGACCUGUCAAAAGUGCUUUGUUUUUGUUAAAACACUUUCAAAGCUUAUACAAGUAUGUACAGUAUUGUGCGUUACGGAUAUGAUGCUCUGCGCCAGCAGUGCGCGCCCUAGAUACUGAGAUGCACUCGAUAGAAGCUUGGCAAAUUGAUGGCAGUUGUAUUGGUGUGUCAUAUCGUCGACAAGCUCUCAUUAUUUAUUUAUUUUUUUUGACAUUAGGAUACCAUGGAGCUGUUGGAGGAGGACCUCACAUGCCCGAUAUGCUGCUGUCUCUUUGAGGACCCGCGCGUUCUGCCUUGCUCCCACAGCUUUUGCAAGAAGUGUCUCGAGGGCAUUCUGGACGGUAACCGAAGCCCCGCAUGGAGACCUCCGUUCAAAUGCCCGACCUGCCGAAAGGAGACCGUGCACAACGGCAUCGCAAGCUUGCAAGUCAAUUACUCCUUACGCGGCAUCGUUGAGAAGUACAACAGGAUUCGGGUGCUCCCUAGAAUGUCCCUCUGUCGAGCUCACAGUGGGCAACCGCUCAACAUUUUCUGUGCCACGGAUCUAAAACUUAUCUGUGGUUUUUGCGCCACAACAGGUGAUCAUAAAGGACACAAAUUUUGUGCAUUAGAAGAGGCUUACGAAAAAGAGAAGGUAGCGUUUGAAGAGUUGUUUCGUGUCGUCGAGGGAUGGAGAAGUGCGGAGGUGCAUUCGUCCUUGGAAUCGUUGGAGGGAGCGAAGAAAAAAGCGCUGGAGAGGGUCUCGCGGGACGCAGAUGGGGUCUCUCAAUACUUUGACAAACUCUUGCGCACGCUAGGGCACAAACGGAGCGAAAUACUCUCUGACUUCGAGACUCUGAAGCUCGCGGUCAUGCAGACAUUUGAUCCCGAGAUCAACCGACUGCGCUCGGCGCUCGAGGAACAACGGCGAGCUCUCGCCAUCGCCGAAUCCUUCCGGUCACUGUCUGAUCCUCUUACUUUUCUGCAGCAGAUGCAAGACUUCAGAGAAAAACUGCGCGUGAUUCAAGCAACACCACUGCCGUCUCGAACUGACUUGGAAGUGGGUUUGCAUAACCUGCAGAGCUUCGAUGUGAAGGAAUGGGAUCGAGUGCGCCUUGGAGAGGUGGACAAGCUGUGCGCCCCCUAUGAAAGCGGCUCAUACUUGGCUGCGCUGCCCCCUGCCCCCGUUCCUCGCUAUUCCCGUGUACUGUGGAGAGUUGUUCUGGUUGUAUGCGCGUGUCUGCCUGCGCUGAACUUUCUCCCUUCGGACUGUCUUGCUCUAAGCUUAAACGAUAAGGUGGUCGCUCUCUCUGGCUUUACUCUGCCGGGUCCAGGGGAGAUUGUGCGCUGGUUCGGGUUCUGUUGGAAAGAAGGAGCCACAAUCUGCGAACUUCUCAUUGAGCAGUGUCGGAACUGUAUCUUGGACCUGAUAAACACGACAUCAGAUUUCAUCAGCUGAUUUUAUAACUUCCUUCAUUAGAAUUAGGAGCAUGAGGGUCUCCGUCUGUACACUGCAAAUUUUGAGUUCUGGAAGAUAUGAAGGACACGAGGUACUCCAGGACUCCAUCUGAAACAGAAGAGAACAGGACGCUUGAGCAAGAACUUACACACUGUAGCUGGAUUUGAUGCUGUCAGUUUGCAGUAAAAUUCCAUGUUUACUACGACAUGUUUGCCUGUAUGUCAUAGAGCUAAAAAUGUGCUUCGAUUCAAUUCAGUAAAUAUUUUUCAAAACAUGUUUAUCAACUGGGUAUUCAAACAUUUUUACAGUCAAAACGGUAUGGCAUGUAAAGUCAGCAUGUUGCACCAGUUAAAUAAAGCAUUUACUAUUUAUAUAUAACACUAUGGUCAAUGAAUAAUAGCAUUUUUAUGCAGAGAAAAACAGAACUUACAAAUUAAAAUAAACAUUACAGGAUUAACCUGGAUUUUUAAAACACUACAAGUUUUACUGUUUGGCGUUUUCACAUUUUACUAUUUUUGGACAUUUAAUAAGAGAGGACCCAACACUAAGUAGUAUUUUUUUUUAAAUAAUCAGAAUACUAGGUUUUUAAAUGGCUAUGGUAUUAAUGGUUAUUUUCCCUCCAGAUCCAUCAGCAACUUUUCUUUGCUAUAUGGACACCGUGCCUCUAGUUGCUCAUCCGAAACAGUGAUUUCAAAGGAAACAAGCAACUAACUGUUCUAGAAAAACUGGAUUUAACCGUCAAGAUUCUGUCUGAUUCAACACUGGCAACAUCCAAAUCAUCUUCAACAGCAGGCACCUGCCAACAACUUUCCCUUUAACAGAGAUUUCCCACGCUUACAUUAUGCUUAAAAAGAUAUGGUGUUCCAUUUAAUAUAUGUUUAUAUGAAUCAAUUCUUUACUGUUGAAAGUGAAUAAAAUUGUACUGUAUAAUGUAAUGUAAUUUACCCUUUGGGAUAAUUAAGUUUACCUGUGGGAGAAUCUUGGUUCUGAACAUUCCAGUAACUUUAACAUCGUAAAUAAGUGCUGUGAAACCAACAACACAAAACAAUGGGUAUCUGAUUGGUUAAAUGUAAUAGUUAUCUGUUGUCAUACAUUAAUAAAGAUAGUGUUUACUCUUUUAUCCCAAAUUACAAAAAAAUAUUAUUAGGAACCAUUUUUGUUUUUGUGAUUUUAGGGUGCACUCUGAUCACAAGAUUAAUACCUGACUAACAUAAUUUUUGAAUUUGGGUCAAUGAUGCAUCAUGGUUUCACAGCCAAGAAACAGGACAAUGUACGUUAUGGAUAUGUAGUUUAGCUCCUUAUUAAAUCAUAGCUGCGGGAUACAUUGUUUCUCAUAAAAAGUAAAAUAAAAAACUU